RNAcentral lists this long non-coding RNA (1374 nucleotides) under Equus caballus (horse). RNAcentral describes it as "lncRNA (ENSECAG00000057134.1)". Lineage: Eukaryota; Metazoa; Chordata; Mammalia; Perissodactyla; Equidae. The record is from RNAcentral.
ACUUGCCCUGCGAAGGCAAACAGAGAGGAAACUUUCUUUAGCUCUAAAUGAAAAGGAAAUGACAUCUUCCUUGGGAAUUUAUAACCAUAAAUUGGCCCUUCUGUAGGCCAAAAUUUACAUUACAUGCGUGAGCCCAAAACUCCAAACUAAGCACCUAGUUGAAAGUACUCUCUGGUUGGUAAUGCUCUGAGACAUUCUGUCAGAACACGCCCUAAACCAAAUCUCAAAUAAUUCUCCGUAUAAAAUUCAAUAAAUACGAACAAUUAAAAAAUACAUAAGAUUCUUAGGGGAAAACCAGGCACCACAAGUGAGAGGUUCCUCAUUCAAUCCACAAAUAGCAAAAUCAGACCACAAAGACCAGAUUUCCUAAUUAUCAGGCACAAAAUAUAAAAUAGACAUGCAUAAAUAUUUAAAGAAAUGAAAGAGGAAAUUUAACGUAUGAUUCUCAAAGAAAAGACCAAGAAGGAGGCGAGUUUUAAAGAGAAUCAAAUAGAACCUCCAGAAGUAGAAAUAUUAUAAUCGAGGUUAAAAAAUAAUGAAUGGCUUGAAAGGCCAACUAGACAUAGUUGGACAAAGAAUUGAUGAAUUGGAAGAUGAAUCUGAAAAAAUUAUCUAAAAUGCAGUACAGAGAGGUAAAGAGAUGAAGUAACAAAUUCUAAAUCAUAGUCCAAGAAGGAGAGAACUGAGCUAAUGGAGAAGAAGUGAUAUUUAAAGAGAAAAUAGAGUUCUCCCUCCCUGAUGAGAGACAAGAAUUAUGAUAUUCAGAGUAAACAAAAAUAAAUCUAUGUUUAGACACAUUAGAGUGAAACUACAGAAUACCUAAGAAGAAGAGAGAAUCUUUAAUACAGCUAGAGAAAAGAACAGUUACUUACAAAUGAAUGACAAUUAGACAGAGCUUGGACUAAGGUGAGACAAGUGAAGCGCCUAGGGUAUAAAAUUAAGCAGACACUCACCCUCCAGUUCAAUAGCAAUGAAUGAAAAGAUUUAAUGGGAGAGGACUGGCUUUCUCCUUUAAGAGCAGGAAGUCACUUUUUAAUUUUAAAAUGGCCCUUAUAGCAACUGGAAAAGGGGCUAAAAUCCUCUAGAGAGGUGCUUUUGAAGUCACAGGAGUGAAAAGAUGAGACAUGUAGCAACCACUAUAAAAGAGGCUAGAAGGUUUGUAGAUCCAAAUUUAAUAUAAAAGUUUAUGGUCACUGUUGAUACUCAAAUUAGUAGUCUAGAAGAUCAAGUAGAAGGAAUAUCUCAGAGCAAAAACAUAGAGAAGGAAAUGAUAAAAACUAAGUGUACAGAACUGGCAGCCCUACUUGAAAAUAAUAAGAGUCCCAGAAGGAGGGAAAAAAGCACUUGGAGAAGCAAUAAUUAAAUAAAUAACGG